CAUGACGAUGUAUCUUGGCCUUGUUCUGCUUUAAAAUUUCUGCUUUAGAUUUAUGAACAAGCUUGGAUAUGAAAAGUACAGAUACCACAUAUUUACUUGAAGUGGCUAGUUUUACAUUAAACACCUACCUUUUCUCCUUAUUUUCAAAUAUAUUUAUCAUUGAUUUCUAUAUCCUGACUAACAGACUUUUUCUUCUUUUAACUUAGAUACUCAUUUACAAUUAUUCGCCUUUUUUAUGGAGGUCUGAUUAUCUUAUUUUCUGAAAACUUUAAA
This 273-nucleotide long non-coding RNA is filed under the name Ananas comosus (pineapple). RNAcentral describes it as "long non-coding RNA (ACOM_LNC026975)". Lineage: Eukaryota; Viridiplantae; Streptophyta; Magnoliopsida; Poales; Bromeliaceae. The record is from RNAcentral.